Molecule: ribosomal RNA, 500 nt
Filed under: uncultured bacterium
Lineage: Bacteria
Description: partial 16S ribosomal RNA
Rfam family: Bacterial small subunit ribosomal RNA
Source: RNAcentral
AUUGAACGCUGGCGGCAGGCCUAACACAUGCAAGUCGAGCGGAUGAGAGGAGCUUGCUCCUUGAUUCAGCGGCGGACGGGUGAGUAAUGCCUAGGAAUCUGCCUGGUAGUGGGGGACAACAGUUGGAAACGACUGCUAAUACCGCAUACGUCCUACGGGAGAAAGCAGGGGACCUUCGGGCCUUGCGCUAUCAGAUGAGCCUAGGUCGGAUUAGCUAGUUGGUGAGGUAAAGGCUCACCAAGGCGACGAUCCGUAACUGGUCUGAGAGGAUGAUGAGUCACAUUGGAACUGAGACACGGUCCAGACUCCUACGGGAGGCAGCAGUGGGGAAUAUUGGACAAUGGGCGAAAGCCUGAUCCAGCCAUGCCGCGUGUGUGAAGAAGGUCUUCGGAUUGUAAAGCACUUUAAGUUGGGAGGAAGGGCAGUAAGUUAAUACCUUGCUGUUUUGACGUUACCGACAGAAUAAGCACCGGCUAACUUCGUGCCAGCCGCCGCCGUAA